This is a non-coding RNA of Aegilops tauschii subsp. strangulata, 1455 nucleotides long. The record is from RefSeq and is a predicted model, not a curated record. Lineage: Eukaryota; Viridiplantae; Streptophyta; Magnoliopsida; Poales; Poaceae.
UCCUCAUCCCCUCCUCCCGCAGCCGCCCCAAUCCGGCGACGGCUACGACGGUGGCUGCGGCGGCUCCCGCGCUGCGUUCUUCCUCCCCCAACACGUCUCCUCUCCUCCCACGCCGGAUCUGGACGAGCAACCGUGGUCAGGCAGCAGAGCCCCUUUCUUCGCGCUCUUUUCCCUCGAUCUGCCGUGACCACCCUCCUCCUCCCCAUCCUCUACCAUGGCCACCCUCCUCCUCCGCGUCCUCUCGUUCUCCUCUCCGACAUUCGUUGACGAGGCGUCAGAACUGACGGAGCAGCGGCGCCAUCGAGCGGGGGUACGGGCACGAUGCAGACCCUAGCCGUGUGUCCGUAGGGUUCAUCAUCGUGCGGCCGUCGUCCUCAUGUUUGUGUGCAUGCAGGAAACCAACAGUCUUCGAUGUAGUGAGAGCUGGCUGUCUUGUCUGCUGGAUGAGGAGCAAGCCGUAGCUGCAAGUCGUUGAGCAUGGUGGUGCUAUUGUGAGGAUCUAUGUCUCUCUCCCUCUAUAAAAUGUCCGUGGAUGCAUUGUUAGGUGACAAGUUGCUGUGGGUUGUACGAUUUCCAUCUCUCAUCAGUUGAAAUUUUCACCUGGAAUACCGGUGGCAUACGUGUUGUUAAAUUUGGUCAGGCAGCUUGGAAGCAGAUACAAAUAAGGACAAAGAUUUCCUCGGUAUGAAAACAAAUGGGUGAGACCAGCGCCAUCCUCUCUGCCCGACUUGCUGCCAUUCGUUGGAUGAUUUUGGCAACAUGUUCAGGGUUAAUCGAUUGAAUCAGUAGGAAAUGUUCCCUUGCUUUGGUUGGAUGGGUGUAGGAGCAGCAAGCAUCGCCGCCACACGGAAAACUCCAGUAACUUCUUGCCCCUUCCAGCCUCGGAUCACGAACGACUUCAAGCUGAAGAUGUUGAACCAUGCGAUGCAAGAAUUAUUAUUUUGGGCUCCUAUGGAAGACUCAUGUAAUUGCUGUCAAGAACACUGUCAGUUCAGCGGUUGUCAUCAUGCAAGCAAUUGGCCGCUGAUCUGCUUGCUCUUUGUACUACUAAAGGGCAGUGUUUUUUCCCUCCCAGUAAAUUACACUAUUUUCAGGUGGCAUCAUACGCGAAGCAGGGGAUAUGGAUCAGAAGCCGCAAUGGUGCGCGUGAAGACAUGUCUAACACUUGCCUGACCCUGGACUCUGGCUUCUUCUUGCAAGUUGACCAUACUAUUGUGAGAAUCUCGGCCAGGAUCAUUCUUUAUAUCAUGUUGGAUCAUCUUGGAAUUUGUAGAGUAAUUUAUCGUCUAAGGAUGUACUCACAGAACACAAUCAGUGUGGUUGUGCUUUUCUACACUUCUGUCCAGAGCAAUGGGAUAUGUAUUUUGUACUGUACGGCUACCCUCUAAUGCAUUUCUCAGACUUCAGUCUGUCUCUUUCUGCACAAAUGACUUGGUCUAAUUAUUAUGAAAUACC